Thrips palmi is the source of this 899-nucleotide long non-coding RNA. RefSeq lists it as uncharacterized. The transcript has 2 exons. The record is from RefSeq and is a predicted model, not a curated record. Lineage: Eukaryota; Metazoa; Arthropoda; Insecta; Thysanoptera; Thripidae.
CAUAAUUUUCGUUGUGGGUUUCAGAGCCCUUGGUCUGCAUCUUCAUUCUCUUCUUCCUCUCCUACUGUGGAAAACAAUAGGACCUCAGUUCGUUUCCAUCCUAAGCGCCUGCGAAGAAACUUAUUCCUUCCUUCACCUUCAUUUUGAAAUUCUAUCAGAAAGCCGGAAUAGCUGCCGCCCCUGCCAGAGCAGUUUCAGCUGUCAAGAACAUGAACAUUCCACAACAAAUAAAAGAUAUGAAGUUGCCAGACUUUCCUCAAGCAAUAAAAGACUUGAAGUUUUGACACUGCAUUUUACCAUGUGAUAUCUUUUCUGGUAUGUCGAUAUGACCUUUUCUUUCAUUUAAGUACUUGAAAAAACAUUCUGCUGACCAAAUUAUUUUUUUUGUGUUUUGCGAGUGAGAAGUUCAACAACUAUUUUAAUGUUACUGUAUGAGAUAUUUUAGAUCUGUUGAGUUAAUUUUAUUUCUGAUAAAUGAAGAUAAAUUUACUAUGCAUGGAAAACUAUAUCAAUUAGAUUUAAUUCCAUUGGUGGUCUUGGUCUUUAUCAUAAGGACACUCAUCACACACAUAAUGUGCAUCAUCACAUGCAGCUGUAUAUUAACUAAAUAAAUGUGAAAUGUUUCUCUAGUGCAUGCAACAAUUCUUGUGAUGGGAUGUGACUGGGAUAUGCCUCAAGUGAUUUCUGAAUGACUAUGUAGCUGGCCUGCAGGUCUCCUAACUGCAAAGAGAGAAAUAAACAUUCAUUGUGGGCAUUAAUUGUUUGCUCUGUUGGAAAAGGUGGCUCAAAGAUAUUGCUGAACAAGAUACUUCACCUUGUUGGAUAAAGCUGCAUGGUUAAAAUAUGGUUCAAACAAGUAUGGUGCCAAGCUUGCAGCAGCUUGAAAAAAAGCCCGAGCU